RNAcentral lists this ribosomal RNA (253 nucleotides) under uncultured bacterium. RNAcentral describes it as "partial 16S ribosomal RNA". It matches the Rfam family "Bacterial small subunit ribosomal RNA", at positions 524 to 776 of the family's 1533-position model. The record is from RNAcentral.
UACGUAGGGUGCAAGCGUUAUCCGGAAUUAUUGGGCGUAAAGAGCUCGUAGGCGGUUUGUCGCGUCUGCUGUGAAAACCCGAGGCUCAACCUCGGGCCUGCAGUGGGUACGGGCAGACUAGAGUGCGGUAGGGGAGACUGGAAUUCCUGGUGUAGCGGUGAAAUGCGCAGAUAUCAGGAAGAACACCUAUGGCGAAGGCAGCUCUCUGGGACGGUACUGACGCUGAGACGCGAAAGCGUGGGGAGCGAACAGG